CNUGGCUCAGAUUGAACGCUGGCGGCAGGCCUAACACAUGCAAGUCGAGCGGAUGAAAGGAGCUUGCUCCUGGAUUCAGCGGCGGACGGGUGAGUAAUGCCUAGGAAUCUGCCUGGUAGUGGGGGACAACGUUUCGAAAGGAACGCUAAUACCGCAUACGUCCUACGGGAGAAAGCAGGGGACCUUCGGGCCUUGCGCUAUCAGAUGAGCCUAGGUCGGAUUAGCUAGUUGGUGAGGUAAUGGCUCACCAAGGCGACGAUCCGUAACUGGUCUGAGAGGAUGAUCAGUCACACUGGAACUGAGACACGGUCCAGACUCCUACGGGAGGCAGCAGUGGGGAAUAUUGGACAAUGGGCGAAAGCCUGAUCCAGCCAUGCCGCGUGUGUGAAGAAGGUCUUCGGAUUGUAAAGCACUUUAAGUUGGGAGGAAGGGUUGUAGAUUAAUACUCUGCAAUUUUGACGUUACCGACAGAAUAAGCACCGGCUAACUCUGUGCCAGCAGCCGCGGUAAUACAGAGGGUGCAAGCGUUAAUCGGAAUUACUGGGCGUAAAGCGCGCGUAGGUGGUUCGUUAAGUUGGAUGUGAAAUCCCCGGGCUCAACCUGGGAACUGCAUUCAAAACUGUCGAGCUAGAGUAUGGUAGAGGGUGGUGGAAUUUCCUGUGUAGCGGUGAAAUGCGUAGAUAUAGGAAGGAACACCAGUGGCGAAGGCGACCANCCUGGACNGA
RNAcentral lists this ribosomal RNA (725 nucleotides) under Pseudomonas frederiksbergensis. Its description in RNAcentral is "bacterial SSU rRNA". It matches the Rfam family "Bacterial small subunit ribosomal RNA", at positions 18 to 738 of the family's 1533-position model. The record is from RNAcentral. Lineage: Bacteria; Pseudomonadati; Pseudomonadota; Gammaproteobacteria; Pseudomonadales; Pseudomonadaceae.